Aegilops tauschii subsp. strangulata is the source of this 333-nucleotide non-coding RNA. The record is from RefSeq and is a predicted model, not a curated record. NCBI's taxonomy places the organism in Eukaryota, Viridiplantae, Streptophyta, Magnoliopsida, Poales, Poaceae.
GCCGGUGCUUCUCCACUAUGCGGCGCGUUUCGGUUGGAUGCUCUGGCGUCGUGUAGCUCGAUGGGGACUCUGGUGCCGGGGUUUGGUCUGGUGCGUGGUUUGGCUAGGGUUUGUGGAAUUGGCGAGAUUUAGGUGUGGUCCCAAAUAAUUAAUUACUGUGGUUCGUGGCUUCGUGCUACGGAUUUUGGGUUCGACUUGGGCUGCAUGUUUGUGCAAUUGGGAGCGUUAGCUUUUGGCGCUUUGUAAUGCGUGUGGGUUAGUAAAUUUCUCUGGCUGACACCCUCUUGAUUCUCUUUAGGUGAACGCAUGAUUAUGGCAUAUCAACUUGUAUUA